UGAGGAAUAUUGGUCAAUGGGCGAGAGCCUGAACCAGCCAAGUAGCGUGCAGGAUGACGGCCCUAUGGGUUGUAAACUGCUUUUGUAUGGGGAUAAAGUCAAUCACGUGUGAUUGUUUGCAGGUACCAUACGAAUAAGGACCGGCUAAUUCCGUGCCAGCAGCCGCGGUAAUACGGAAGGUCCGGGCGUUAUCCGGAUUUAUUGGGUUUAAAGGGAGCGUAGGCUGGAGAUUAAGUGUGUUGUGAAAUGUAGACGCUCAACGUCUGACUUGCAGCGCAUACUGGUUUCCUUGAGUACGCACAACGUUGGCGGAAUUCGUCGUGUAGCGGUGAAAUGCUUAGAUAUGACGAAGAACUCCGAUUGCGAAGGCAGCUGACGGGAGCGCAACUGACGCUGAAGCUCGAAGGUGCGGGUAUCGAACAGGAUUAGAUACCCUGGUAGUCCGCACAGUAAACGAUGGAUGCCCGCUGUUGGUACCUGGUAUCAGCGGCUAAGCGAAAGCAUUAAGCAUCCCACCUGGGGAGUACGCCCGGNNCGG
This 538-nucleotide ribosomal RNA is filed under the name uncultured bacterium. Its description in RNAcentral is "bacterial SSU rRNA". It matches the Rfam family "Bacterial small subunit ribosomal RNA", at positions 355 to 894 of the family's 1533-position model. The record is from RNAcentral.